This 499-nucleotide ribosomal RNA is filed under the name uncultured Bacteroidota bacterium. Its description in RNAcentral is "bacterial SSU rRNA". It matches the Rfam family "Bacterial small subunit ribosomal RNA", at positions 903 to 1382 of the family's 1533-position model. Lineage: Bacteria; Pseudomonadati; Bacteroidota. The record is from RNAcentral.
GCCACGCCCGCUCAAGAAACUCAAAGGUAAUGACGGGGGCCCGCACAAGCGGAGGAGCAUGUGGUUUAAUUCGAUGAUACGCGAGGAACCUUACCUGGGCUUAAAUGCUUAAUGACGUACUGGGAAACUGGUAUUUCUUCGGACAUUUUGCAAGGUGCUGCAUGGUUGUCGUCAGCUCGUGCCGUGAGGUGUCGGGUUAAGUCCCAUAACGAGCGCAACCCCUAUUGUUAGUUGCCAUCAGGUCAUGCUGGGGACUCUAACAAAACUGCCCGCGUAAGCGUGGAGGAAGGUGGGGAUGACGUCAAAUCAGCACGGCCCUUACGUCCAGGGCUACACACGUGCUACAAUGGCCGGUACAGAGGGCAGCCACUUGGUGACAAGGAGCAAAUCUCAAAAGCCGGUCUCAGUUCGGAUCGGAGUCUGCAACUCGACUCCGUGAAGUUGGAUUCGCUAGUAAUCGUAGAUCAGCAAUGCUACGGUGAAUACGUUCCCGGGCCUU